RNAcentral lists this ribosomal RNA (1821 nucleotides) under metagenome. RNAcentral describes it as "bacterial LSU rRNA". It matches the Rfam family "Bacterial large subunit ribosomal RNA", at positions 1065 to 2910 of the family's 2925-position model. The record is from RNAcentral.
GUCUAACGAAGUCUGGUCCCUAUGACAGCUAGGAUGUUGGCUUGGAAGCAGCCAUUCAUUCAAAGAGUGCGUAACAGCUCACUAGUCGAGGGUCCGGGCAUGGAUAAUAAUCGGGUAUAAGGCAGACACCGAAGGCGCGGGAUAGCAUUUAAGAAAGUAUCGGUAGGGGAGCAUACUCACAGCGUUGAAUGGUGUACGUAAGUUAUCCUGGAGCGGUGAGUAAAGCAAAUGUAGGAAUAAGUAACGAUAAGGAGGGUUAGAUUCCCUCCCGCUGUAAGACCAAGGUUUCCCGGGCAAUGCCAAUCAGCCCGGGGUCAGUCGGGUCCUAAGUCUAAGCCGAACGGCGAUGGCGAUGGCAGAGACGGUUAAUAUUCCGUCACUGCCGCAUGGGGCGAUGUGGAGACGGAGCAGUGAAACCACCGCGGGGCGACGGAAGUCCCCGUUGAAGAGUGUAGGCGUUGAGGAUGGCAGGCAAAUCCACCGUCCGAGCUGAACUUGAUAGUAUGGAGUCUUCUUCGGAAGAAUCCAAUAGUGUGGGUAAUCAUACUCCCGAGAAAAUCCGCUAAGCUUAACCCAUGCGGCACCCGUACCGCAAACGGACACACGUGGUCGGGUAGAGCAUACUGAGGCGUUGAGAGAUUCAUGGUUAAGGAACUAGGCAAAUUGACCCUGUAACUUCGGGAUAAAGGGUCCUCGUGAAGAGCGAGGCGCAGAGAAUAGGUCCAGGCAACUGUUUAACAAAAACACAGGGCUGUGCAAACUCGAAAGAUGACGUAUACAGCCUGACACCUGCCCGGUGCCGGAAGGUUAAGAGGAGAUGUCACACUUAUGUGGAAGCAUUGAAUUGAAGCCCCGGUAAACGGCGGCCGUAACAAUAACGGUCCUAAGGUAGCGAAAUUCCUUGUCGGGUAAGUUCCGACCUGCACGAAUGGUGUAAUGAUCCGGACGCUGUCUCAACCAUGAGCUCAGUGAAAUUGUAGUAUCGGUGAAGAUGCCGAUUACCCGCGAUGGGACGAAAAGACCCCGUGAACCUUUACUACAGCUUAGCAUUGACCUUGGUCAUCCGAUGUGUAGGAUAGGCCGGAGGCUUCGAAGCGGGAGCGCCAGCUUUCGUGGAGCCAUCCUUGGAAUACGGCCCUUUGGCUGUCUGAGGUCUAACGCGCGAUGCGCGGACACUGCUUGGUGGGUAGUUUGACUGGGGUGGUCGCCUCCAAAAGCGUAACGGAGGCUUCCAAAGGUGCCCUCGGGUCGAUUGGUAACCGACCUCAAAGAGUGCAAUGGCAUAAGGGCGCUUGACUGGGAGGCAGACAUGCCGAGCAGGCAGGAAACUGGGGCAUAGUGAUCCGGCGGAUGUGUAUGGAAACUCCGUCGCUCAAAGGAUAAAAGGUACUCCGGGGAUAACAGGCUGAUCCCCCCCAAGAGCUCAUAUCGACGGGGUGGUUUGGCACCUCGAUGUCGGCUCGUCACAUCCUGGGGCUGGAGAAGGUCCCAAGGGUUGGGCUGUUCGCCCAUUAAAGUGGCACGCGAGCUGGGUUCAGAACGUCGUGAGACAGUUCGGUCUCUAUCUAUCGUGGGCGUGGGAGUUUUGCGUGGUGCCGUCACUAGUACGAGAGGACCGUGAUGGACAGACCUCCGGUUUACCAGUUGUGCCGCCAGGCGCACCGCUGGGUAUCUGAGUCUGGAUUGGAUAAGCGCUGAAAGCAUCUAAGUGCGAAGCCAGCCGCAAGAUGAGAACUCCAUUGAGGGUCGUCAGAGACGAUGACGUUGAUAGGAUGCAGGUGUAAAGACAGCGAUGUCAAAGCCGAGCAUUACUAAUUGCAC